GUCUGCCCGACGUGAGAAAUUGUCGUCGACAUCCGUUAUUCGCGGAGUCGGCUCAGCAUCUUCCGAUGUUGAUCGUUCGGAUAAUAAUGGGGGACUACGUCGUUCGAGACAUGACGUCAAAACGACCUUAGGUUUCUCUUCCUUGCGAGUCACGUCCGUACUCGCGAGUCACUGGUCACGUCAAACGAUGCGUACGUUACCGGAGUUACAUUAUUUAAACAAUCAACUCUUUGGUCAAUUGGGCUUAUUGUUUACAGAUUCUUCUAAAUUCAUUCACUAAAUAUAGCGGUGACGAAGUGCUGUAAAAGCAUGAAACAUUGAUGCAACAGCUAAACGAAUUUUCAUAGAUAAUUUGAUUUUGUGACUACAAUACAAAGUUAUAGGUGGCCGUAGCCCAAAGGGGUACAACGCUAUGCAAGGCGUUUCAGAUGAUGACGUCUCUAGAAAUGCUUCCGUCAAAUUUUCCUAUCGAACGCAACAGUUGCCACUAUCGGGAUUCUGUCCUGCCAGCGAAAAUAGUAGGACAUUUGAGCGAAAAUCUAAAAAAAAAAAAACAUUUAAAAGCCACCUCUCAAUAUGAUAAAUAAUAUACGAGCAUCUACGUACAUCUGCGAGAGUAUCCGUGACACAGGCAAUGUUACCUAAUAAAAGCACACCCUAUCGGCUGCCCGACCCGGAGAUAUAAUAACUAAUCAGCAGUUAUACCAAAGCAAAUUCAACAUAAACCAAGUUCUCCAAGCUCCAGCUCUCUGUAACCAAUCUACCCUGUCUAUCUGUAACCGAACAUUACAUGCAAAUAUAUCUGUACGAUAUACUGUAUAACGGAAACAGAUAUCGUGCAUAUACAUUUGCACGUUAACUCUCUGUCUGUAUGUUCAGUGUUCUUGAAGGCGCCUACAACAAAUUAAACAAAUCUUGUUUUUUUUUUUUGCAUUAGAAUCACGCGCUCUUUUUCAAUGAUGAAAACAACGUAGUAAAAAAAGAACUUAUUCGCGAAAAAUUAUAGUUCGUACCUUUACGCUGCUCGUGGUUUCAUCAUGCUAGUUUUGCUUGAUCCUAGAAAGCUCGAUCUUUAUUCUGUCUUCCUUGUGUAACAUUAUAAUUUUACUAUUAUUACCCUAUUAUAAUAGUGUAGAAGAAUAGAUGCGUACACGACUACAUUGGGGCCGUACAUACUAGACAUGCUGGUCGGCUACGUCAGAACUGCUAUAAUUGUUAUUUUCGCGCUCUCCUUUUCCACAAAGACAAAAAGCGUGAAAAUCGAACCUGGUGGUUAAUCAAUAAAGCGCAAUAUGUUAAAAACAAAUAUGGUGUCCACCUGUCUGUAAACACGGUACCAAGCAUUUCGCAUGAUGCCCUAAGAGAUUUCAAGCCAUAAUUCUAUAUAUCCAGGGCGCGUAGUGUUAUUCCUGUCCCCUUCGUAUUAAUAAAUUGUGGCUUAACAAAACAAAACGAAUAUGUACAAAUCGAGCAAAAAAGAAACAACAGAAACCACAAACAAAAUAUACGUUUGCCUGUAUCAUAUUCGACAGCAGAACCAGUCAUAUAACUCUACGAUCGAAUGAGUAUCCGGUUGAAUUUAACAAAGUGGUCGAUCACCAUUAGCUCAAGUACUAUUACACGUUACGAUGUCCUAUUGUUAGGCAAAAACAUACAAAUUUCUGGGUUUUUGCCCAACGCAAGCGGCAAGGGCACGUAUGUUCGGUUCGCAGGCAAGCAAAUUUGUAGUCGUCGCGUAAAUCAUAGCGGAAAGCUGAUCCAAUGGCAAAAACGAAACUUAACUUUCAUAUAACUAUCAGUUUUCAACCUGUUAUCCGCCGUUAUAAACUUCUGCUUUUUAUUGAACAGUUUUGUAAAAACGCGUUAUUUGUACCCGGGGCCUACACUGUGGAACAACUCGUUAAAAUUCGUUCUUGGGCCAAAGCAUUUGUCGUGUCUGAGUGUGGCUGAUGAUACUGGCAAUGCGGUGACAAAGCCGCAUUCGAUACUUUGAUGGAAGUUUAUUCUAUAGACAAACUAAUCUAAACUAACAACGGAUAUACGAUGAAUAGCAAUAAAGCUGACUAACAUAAAGCACAAUACAUUUUUUUUUCUAUAUAACUUCAAUGUGUGGUAUCUGCACGCAAUAAACAUUUGGUACUUCAACUUGUAAAGGCAUCCUAAGAAAUCUUACGAAGUUGACCCUCUAACAUGUGAGCACCCUGUUCCUUACAGACCGGCAGAGGUUACAUCUUUACUAAAAA
Molecule: long non-coding RNA, 2243 nt
Organism: Varroa destructor (honeybee mite)
Lineage: Eukaryota; Metazoa; Arthropoda; Arachnida; Mesostigmata; Varroidae
Source: RefSeq, a predicted model, not a curated record